This 233-nucleotide ribosomal RNA is filed under the name uncultured bacterium. Its description in RNAcentral is "partial 16S ribosomal RNA". It matches the Rfam family "Bacterial small subunit ribosomal RNA", at positions 118 to 351 of the family's 1533-position model. The record is from RNAcentral.
UGAGUAACCUGCCCUUAACUUCGGGAUAAGCCUGGGAAACCGGGUCUAAUACCGGAUAUGACUCCUCAUCGCAUGGUGGGGGUGGAAAGCUUUAUUGUGGUUUUGGAUGGACUCGCGGCCUAUCAGCUUGUUGGUGAGGUAAUGGCUCACCAAGGCGACGACGGGUAGCCGGCCUGAGAGGGUGACCGGCCACACUAGGACUGAGACACGGCCCAGACUCCUACGGGAGGCAG